AGUAGUUUGAUCAUGGCUCAGGAUGAACGCUAGCUACAGGCUUAACACAUGCAAGUCGAGGGGCAGCAUUGUCGAAGCUUGCUUUGACAGAUGGCGACCGGCGCACGGGUGAGUAACGCGUAUCCAACCUUCCCCUUAGUAGAGGAUAGCCCGGCGAAAGUCGGAUUAAUACUCUAUGUUCUUUCUGGAUGGCAUCUGAUGGAAAGCAAAGGUUCACCGCUAAGGGAUGGGGAUGCGUCUGAUUAGCUUGUUGGCGGGGUAACGGCCCACCAAGGCGACGAUCAGUAGGGGUUCUGAGAGGAAGGUCCCCCACACUGGUACUGAGACACGGACCAGACUCC
RNAcentral lists this ribosomal RNA (341 nucleotides) under uncultured Prevotella sp. RNAcentral describes it as "bacterial SSU rRNA". It matches the Rfam family "Bacterial small subunit ribosomal RNA", at positions 1 to 339 of the family's 1533-position model. The record is from RNAcentral. Lineage: Bacteria; Pseudomonadati; Bacteroidota; Bacteroidia; Bacteroidales; Prevotellaceae.